Molecule: ribosomal RNA, 505 nt
Filed under: Escherichia coli
Lineage: Bacteria; Pseudomonadati; Pseudomonadota; Gammaproteobacteria; Enterobacterales; Enterobacteriaceae
Description: partial 23S ribosomal RNA
Rfam family: Bacterial large subunit ribosomal RNA
Source: RNAcentral
UCCUCCUAAAGAGUAACGGAGGAGCACGAAGGUUGGCUAAUCCUGGUCGGACAUCAGGAGGUUAGUGCAAUGGCAUAAGCCAGCUUGACUGCGAGCGUGACGGCGCGAGCAGGUGCGAAAGCAGGUCAUAGUGAUCCGGUGGUUCUGAAUGGAAGGGCCAUCGCUCAACGGAUAAAAGGUACUCCGGGGAUAACAGGCUGAUACCGCCCAAGAGUUCAUAUCGACGGCGGUGUUUGGCACCUCGAUGUCGGCUCAUCACAUCCUGGGGCUGAAGUAGGUCCCAAGGGUAUGGCUGUUCGCCAUUUAAAGUGGUACGCGAGCUGGGUUUAGAACGUCGUGAGACAGUUCGGUCCCUAUCUGCCGUGGGCGCUGGAGAACUGAGGGGGGCUGCUCCUAGUACGAGAGGACCGGAGUGGACGCAUCACUGGUGUUCGGGUUGUCAUGCCAAUGGCACUGCCCGGUAGCUAAAUGCGGAAGAGAUAAGUGCUGAAAGCAUCUAAGCACG